This is a long non-coding RNA of Gallus gallus (chicken), 1420 nucleotides long. The record is from Ensembl. Lineage: Eukaryota; Metazoa; Chordata; Aves; Galliformes; Phasianidae.
GUCAAGGAUUUUUCUACUUCUCACGCUGACCUCACAACAAGGAGCUGAGUGGGCACAAGAAGCUGGGAGGGGACAUAGCCAGGGCAGCUUUCCUAAACUGGACAAAGAUGUAUCCCAUACUAUGUGGCAUCAUAAUGAAUGAUGGGGAAAAUGAGAAGAGGAGAAAAUAAACUAAACCCUGGCAAUUGCAGGAAUGUGGUGAUGUUCCGGAAGCUUCUCACCCUGUUUUCUCAAGGUACAAUCUGAUUUGCAUCUGGCCAUCUAAGUGGGAUGACUGAGAGCUUAAAGAAUGAUGAAACCUGAAGGAGUCAGUUUCAGUGAUGUUGGUCAUCUGAUGCAGCCACUUCAUUUUGUGCCGUAAAUGAGAAAACAGCUUUUAAUACAGGAGAAAUGACCAGAGAACCCCAGGCCUAGUCACUGCCCUUCUGAGAUUUCAUCAGAUAAGCCUCCACAAACUGCUUUGAUUUUGACAAACAAUAUAAUAGUGUGAAAUUGUUAAGAUAUUCUGACUUUCUCAGCUUGAUGCUUUCAGCAGUGCAGCUCUUCAGAAUGCACAACUCACAUGCAAUUAUCAUUAGCUAAAUGCCCUUUUCAGUCUCCUGAGGUGAAAGACAUCAUAAAGCUAUGAACGAAGAUGCAGAAAAGGAUAUGGAGAAGUAAGAUUAAAGUUUGUCUCCUUGCAAAGACUCUCAUGCUACAAAACUGCAAAUUUGUGGAAGGGAUAAAAAUUUUUGACCCUUCCCUCAGCACUUGUUUAACAUAAGUUAAUAUAAAUAAUGCAAAUAUUCUUGGGAAUGCCAACAAUCAGUAGCUGAAAGGCAGUUUUUGCUCAUCACAGCUUGUGGCUGUUGUCCAUUGAGAAUUAGAAAGCUUAAGAAUCAGCUUUCAGAAAGAAGAGAAACUUGAGAUUAACCUUUGAAAGAAAGGGAGGAUUAAUUAUUUUGUAUGCUUCUUUUCUAUCAUGGGGUAGAUAGGAAAGAAAAUUACAUAGACUUUGCAGACUCCAAUGUGUACACUGAAAAGAAUCAAUCCUGAAUUAUGACCUGAACUGUAGGAGUCCUGAAAGCCUGACAAUGGAUCUAUUUGGAAAAAUAUCUGGAAAAAUUGCCUCAUUGAAAAACUGAGAAAACAAGCCUUGACUUUGUCUUCAAACACCAAAGCAUAUUCACAUAAAGGGAGAAAAAAAAAUCAGAUUUUUUUUUUCAUAAAAUAUGUAUUUUUAAAUUUUAACAAAAAAUAACAAGAAUACCCAACACAGCACCAGACUGCACUCAUCUCUGAGACUGACAUUCUAGUAAGAGGAGGAGAUGUCAUUGGAGAAUUACCAGGAACAAAGUCAUCUAUAUUUGUACAAAGGGGAAUAAAGAGAGUUUAUUUUAUUUUCUCUCAGAUUUAUAGAUAUGUCCCCGUCCCCCCCCCC